Arabidopsis thaliana (thale cress) is the source of this 465-nucleotide long non-coding RNA. RefSeq annotates it as other RNA. The transcript has a single exon. Lineage: Eukaryota; Viridiplantae; Streptophyta; Magnoliopsida; Brassicales; Brassicaceae. The record is from RefSeq.
ACGGAGGACGGAGAUGAGAUCGGAUUUUAUGAGACGGCGGAGAGGACGGAGGGUAAGGGAGAGGGAGACACCGGUUCGAUGAGCUCGUUUGAGAGAUUGGAUUGAUUGGAUUGCUUCGGUGCUUAGGAUUCGGCCUUUGAGAAGUGGUCCGCGGUUGUCUCGUGGACCGCAUCGGAUCGAAACGAACGUUCUCUUAGGAACGAUGACGCUAAGGGUAUGGCUAUGGCUAAGGCUUGGUGGUCGAGUCUGGCUGAGAGAAAGCGCCAUUAUUAAUCACACCAAUCUUUACGAGUGUGGUUGUGUGAGUGAGAGAGAUGGUCUUUCAUUGGGCAAGCCCAUAUUAAUUUAUAAAAGGCCCAUAUGUGACACAAAAUUAAUUAAUUUAUACUUUCUAAUUAUGCGUCGUUUAUAUUUCUGUUCCCGCUAAUUUCUCUACACGAGUCUAUCAUUACACUUGCAAGAGCG